This is a long non-coding RNA of Serinus canaria (Common canary), 442 nucleotides long. RefSeq lists it as uncharacterized. The transcript has 3 exons. The record is from RefSeq and is a predicted model, not a curated record. NCBI's taxonomy places the organism in Eukaryota, Metazoa, Chordata, Aves, Passeriformes, Fringillidae.
UCAAAAAAGCUUCUCAAAAAAUAAACAGCUCUGGGUGGUGAGCACUCAGAAAAGGCGUCUCUGUCUGACUAAGCUUAAGAGGUCAAAGCUGCAUCCAAAACUCAUCCUGUCUGCGGUGGGGUGGGAGAAGGAGGAGGAAUCAAAGUCUGGAACCUUGCCACUGUCAGCCAAGGGCACAACCAGCAGCCUCUGAAACUGGCAGAAAAUGAUGAUAUGGGAAGAUGAGGUGGCAGUGAAAUUGACUGAGAGCUACCAAGGAAUGUGGGAAAAGUAUUUUUCCUUCUGGAAAAAGUAUCUGCUUACAAUGCACAGGCAUGAAGAGCCCAGCAGCCCUCUGCACAGCGUUCCACCAAACGAGAAAGGCGGUUGGAGACCACAGCAAGAGGAACACAAAUCACCGAGAUUGCAAAUGCACGGCUCGGGAGUUGAUCUACAAACACAA